UUGGUUAUGCUUUCAGUACCCACAUGCCUU
RNAcentral lists this non-coding RNA (30 nucleotides) under Mus musculus (house mouse). Lineage: Eukaryota; Metazoa; Chordata; Mammalia; Rodentia; Muridae. The record is from RNAcentral.